Molecule: ribosomal RNA, 387 nt
Filed under: uncultured bacterium
Lineage: Bacteria
Description: bacterial SSU rRNA
Rfam family: Bacterial small subunit ribosomal RNA
Source: RNAcentral
AUUGAACGCUGGCGGCAGGCCUAACACAUGCAAGUCGAGCGGUAACAGGAAAUAGCUUGCUAUUUGCUGACGAGCGGCGGACGGGUGAGUAACGCGUAGGAAUUUGCCCAGUAGUGGGGGAUAGCCCGGAGAAAUUCGGAUUAAUACCGCAUACGCCCUAAGGGGAAAGCAGGGGAUCUUCGGACCUUGCGCUAUUGGAUAAGCCUGCGUGAGAUUAGCUAGUUGGUGAGGUAAGGGCUCACCAAGGCGACGAUCUCUAGCUGGUCUGAGAGGAUGAUCAGCCACACUGGAACUGAGACACGGUCCAGACUCCUACGGGAGGCAGCAGUGGGGAAUAUUGGACAAUGGGGGCAACCCUGAUCCAGCCAUGCCGCGUGUGUGAAAGAA